RNAcentral lists this transfer RNA (72 nucleotides) under Fukomys damarensis (Damara mole-rat). It matches the Rfam family "tRNA". From Rfam's summary of the family: Transfer RNA (tRNA) molecules are approximately 80 nucleotides in length. Their secondary structure includes four short double-helical elements and three loops (D, anti-codon, and T loops). The record is from Rfam by way of RNAcentral. Lineage: Eukaryota; Metazoa; Chordata; Mammalia; Rodentia; Bathyergidae.
GGGGAUUUAGCUCAGUGGAAUAGCACCUGCCUUGCAAGCACAAGGUCCUAGGUUCAAUCCCUGGCACCCCCC